Molecule: long non-coding RNA, 598 nt
Organism: Carassius carassius (crucian carp)
Lineage: Eukaryota; Metazoa; Chordata; Actinopteri; Cypriniformes; Cyprinidae
Exons: 3
Source: RefSeq, a predicted model, not a curated record
AGGCUCAUGGCUUUCCGUAGUGCUGGUUUUCACUGUUAUUGGUUUAUUUCUGUCUGGACUCAUAGGAUUCAUCUUUCUGUGCCGCUUUACCAGUUCUGCUGAUGUUCUCACAGAGGUGUACUACACCUCCUGCCAGAUAGAAACAACAUCUCUUUUAACCUCUUCUGAUUGCCCCUCAAAACAUGGAUGACCUGUUUACUUUCUUUUCCUUUCGCUAAAGUAUUAAAUCUUUAGUCUAAAUGUAUACAUUUCUUUAUUAAACUAUUGUAACACACAUUGCUUUUAACAUAUGAUGAGAUGAAUUCUAACAACAAAGUUGACAGCUGAACUGCAACAAUUUCAGAAAAUGAUCAUAGUGUCCUACUGGAUUUGUCUGUUUUUUUUUUGUUUUUUUGUUUUACUUUCAGAUCAAUGACCAUCUGAACUGCUUACUUUUAUCUGCAUGCUUUUAUGCAGUAGCUUACAUAUGAUUAUCUGAUUAUAUUUUUGCAUUAAAGGCAGGAAGUGUACCUAUAAGGGGACCACUGUGUCUAGCUGUGUGUAUGAAAUCAUUAACCUAUUCACUAUGGUAUGCAAUAAAAAUGAAGAUAAACCUAAA